Molecule: long non-coding RNA, 580 nt
Organism: Dama dama (fallow deer)
Lineage: Eukaryota; Metazoa; Chordata; Mammalia; Artiodactyla; Cervidae
Exons: 3
Source: RefSeq, a predicted model, not a curated record
AUGGUCAAUCACAGAUCUUUGUAUUAGAAGCUGUUCAAGUCCUGAAAGGCAGACAGGAAUAGUACAUGCAGAACUGGUGGAAAGAUCAGUGGGGCAAUUCACCUAUCAAGUCUGACUAUACAUUUACCACUCCCUUCUCAGGCCACUCAGAAGUGAACCAUCAGCCCUGGAAAGCCACUGGAACUGAGCCAGAAAAAUCAUGAUUCAGCAAGUGGGGGUUCAGGAAGACUUCCCUGAAUACGCUGACCUCUGAAUAACCUUGAAAGAAAUAUGCACUUAACCUCCAGAGAAUUGAGUUGAGAACAACAUAACACAAUACUCUUCUUGCUCUCUAACUACUUUACAGGCCAUGCAGCAUGUGGGAUCUUAGUUCCCCAACUAGGGAACAUGCCCCUUGCAUUGGAAGUACGAAGUCUUAACCACUGGACCACCAGACAAGUCCCAGCUUUUAUGGAAUUAAAUGACAGAGUCAAAGAUCUUUAACCACUUAUCCUUUUUCCAUUAUCCUUCUCAGGCAACAAAUAUCAUGAGCUUUGAUUCCUUCUGUUUCAUUAAAAAUUUACAUAUAUAAACAUGCAUU